Long non-coding RNA from Etheostoma spectabile (orangethroat darter), 757 nucleotides. RefSeq lists it as uncharacterized. The record is from RefSeq and is a predicted model, not a curated record. The transcript has 3 exons. NCBI's taxonomy places the organism in Eukaryota, Metazoa, Chordata, Actinopteri, Perciformes, Percidae.
GUGGAUGAAUUUUACAGAAAAUAAAUAAAAUUAUAAAGCACCUUUUGUGCUCUGCUGUCAUCCUCUUUACAGGGAAGUGCAGUCUAGAGCGGCGUCUGUGGGAUCUGGGGCUUGCCAGGGUUUGACAAGACCCCAGAGGACUUUUUGGCCAUCCAGAUGUAGACUGUAAUAGACUACCAGCCAGCCCCAAUUACAGCUCCUCACUCAUCACAACCAUGAAACCCUCAUCAGCUCAACACUCGACUUGACUCGCCUCUACUCAACUCGGCGCAUUCUGCGUCCGUUGUCCAUUGCAAAUUGAGUAACGCCUCAGCGUGGCUGGUCACCAUAGCUACGCGUGACGAUGUAAUUUUCAACGCGACUCCCAACAGCACGUCGGACAGUUGCCACAGCCAGAAGAAAUGUUUUGUUUCAAAAGAAGCUGAAGGAAGCAACAAAAAUCACCGCUAAAAAAACAGGAGUUUGGGAAUUCCGACGGAGUUCAGACGUUGACAUGACUAUUGUUCGCCGACACAAAAGGAGCAUUCACGCUUUGCAAAAUCGCCGCCGCAGACCGUCUGGUGGGCGAUGUCCGACUGGUGAGAUCUCUGGUUCUGACCUGCUGGACUUUGCAUAAUCUUUAUGAGAGUCAUGAAGAGGCUUGUGACAACAACUGGGAUGCAUCUGGGACAGCAGAGUCCCAGGGGGGGACACUGUCACAGGUUGCAGAGGAUGAAGACCGGGAUGUACGCAAGGGUUUGAUGCGCUACUUGAAAAG